RNAcentral lists this non-coding RNA (23 nucleotides) under Arabidopsis thaliana (thale cress). The record is from RNAcentral. Lineage: Eukaryota; Viridiplantae; Streptophyta; Magnoliopsida; Brassicales; Brassicaceae.
CCCACCACAACAUCUCUAGGUUG